GACGUAGGGCGCGAGCGUUGUCCGGAUUUAUUGGGCGUAAAGAGCUCGUAGGCGGCUUGUCGCGUCGACCGUGAAAACUUGGGGCUCAACCCCAAGCCUGCGGUCGAUACGGGCAGGCUCGAGUUCGGUAGGGGAGACUGGAAUUCCUGGUGUAGCGGUGAAAUGCGCAGAUAUCAGGAGGAACACCGGUGGCGAAGGCGGAUCUCUGGGCCGUAACUGACGCUGAGGAGCGAAAGCAUGGGGAGCGAACAGG
Molecule: ribosomal RNA, 253 nt
Filed under: uncultured bacterium
Lineage: Bacteria
Description: partial 16S ribosomal RNA
Rfam family: Bacterial small subunit ribosomal RNA
Source: RNAcentral